UACAGAGGGUGCAAGCGGUAAUCGGAAUUACUGGGCGUAAAGGGCGCGUAGGCGGAUGAAUAAGUUAGGUGUGAAAUUUCUGGGCUUAACCUGGGAACAGCACUUAAAACUGUUGAUCUAGAGUAGAGUAGAGGGAAGUGGAAUUUCCGGUGUAGCGGUGAAAUGCGUAGAGAUCGGAAAGAACACCAGUGGCGAAGGCGGCUUUCUGGACUCAUACUGACGCUGAGGCGCGAAAGCGUGGGGAGCAAACAGG
RNAcentral lists this ribosomal RNA (253 nucleotides) under uncultured bacterium. RNAcentral's name for it is "partial 16S ribosomal RNA". It matches the Rfam family "Bacterial small subunit ribosomal RNA", at positions 524 to 776 of the family's 1533-position model. The record is from RNAcentral.